Molecule: ribosomal RNA, 490 nt
Filed under: uncultured bacterium
Lineage: Bacteria
Description: bacterial SSU rRNA
Rfam family: Bacterial small subunit ribosomal RNA
Source: RNAcentral
GAUGAACGCUAGCGGGAGGCCUAAUACAUGCAAGUCGAGCGGUAGAGUGACUUCGGUUGCUUGAGAGCGGCGAACGGGUGAGUAACGCGUACACAAUCUACCUUUAAGAGGGGAAUAGCCCUGGGAAACUGGGAUUAAUGCCCCAUGGCAUCACGAGACGGCAUCGUUUUGUGAUUAAAGCUGAGGUGCUUAGAGAUGAGUGUGCGUCUGAUUAGCUAGUUGGUGCGGUAACGGCGCACCAAGGCGACAAUCAGUAGGGGGCGUGAGAGCGUGGACCCCCACGCGGGUACUGAGACACGGACCCGACUCCUACGGGAGGCAGCAGUAAGGAAUAUUGGUCAAUGGAGGAAACUCUGAACCAGCCAUCCCGCGUGCAGGAAGAAUGCCCUAUGGGUUGUAAACUGCUUUUAUCUGGGAAGAAAAGUCGGCAUUUAUGCUGAUCUGACGGUACCAGAGGAAUAAGCACCGGCUAACUCCGUGCCAGCAGCCG